Phoenix dactylifera (date palm) is the source of this 5238-nucleotide non-coding RNA. NCBI's taxonomy places the organism in Eukaryota, Viridiplantae, Streptophyta, Magnoliopsida, Arecales, Arecaceae. The record is from RefSeq and is a predicted model, not a curated record.
UACCAAAACCAUUCGCCUUGCAGCGCGUCGAAUCCUUCUCCGAUAUUAAAAAAGAUCAGAGUAUUUUCACCGAUAAAAUGCCUCCGUGAUCGGCUUUGAAGAGACCGUCGGCCAAGUCCUCUCCGAAGCCCUCGAAUCGUCGCGAGUCCGCGAAGGCCGAAUCCGUGGCGAUCGAGAAAGAACCCGCCCCUGCUGCGGCAUUGGAGGAACUUCCUUCCAAAAUCAAUCAGAGGGAUCCAGUGCUGAUUUCUUCUCUCCAUUCUCUUUCUCUAGGGACCUUGAUAGUUAUUCUUCUAGAAGAGUUGGUGUUAAAGAUCAGCUGUCUCCACCCACAGGGAAAUACGGACCUAGGAAUAGGAAGAAAAUUGCUAGGGAUGGAUCUGCAGUCAGCAGCAGAAGAUCUAGAGAUCUUUAUCCAGAGAGCAGUUCAUCAGGCAGAUAUGCACUUGAGAGUUACCAAGGUAUGCCGACUACUUAUUCCCGAUCUAGGAGGCUGGAUGCUGAGGCAGAUUUCUAUGACCCUCGAUUUGAAUGUUGGGAGACUUAUGAGUAUCCUGCAGUGUCUGGAUAUAAGCAUACCUAAUCUGAGAUUGUGACUUCUUGGCAUCAAGCUCCUUGACAAGUCGGGGUAGAAUCAGGUCAGAAUUGGAAGUGGGUGCUUAUUCUCACCAGGGUGCUUCUGCAUAUGAUGAGUAUUCCAGGUUCCUGCCAGAUGAGCGGCUUGGCUAUGAUAGAAAGGAGUAUUCAAUCGGGAAUAUGGAAAUAGAUAUUGUUCUGGAACUGUUGCUAUCAAACAUACUAUUGAAAAAAGACAUCCCUAGGCAAGAUCAUAUAUUGACAUGUAGAUCAGGUUUCAUGGUCUCUUUUCAAACUACACUCCAGCUUCCAUUGUAUUACUUUUAUUCAGCUUAUAAACUUGAACUUUUAAGACCAUAAAUUCAGCAACCUGUUUCACGCGAGAUGAUAUUACAUAAUCCAUUUUUAUUCAUUUUAAGCUUGAUCUAAGUGUGAAUACUUCUGCUCCUGCAACCCAAACCCUGGGCUAAGGGUUUGGCUAUCCUGAUAGGUAGUUGUGUGUUGAAAGGCUGAGCUGAGACCUCUUUUCUUGCCUUCCACCUAUUCAGAAUUAGCUCAGGCUGCUCUAAUUGUGGGUUGUUUCCAUGUAAAAAUUGGCCUAUCUCAGCUAACAAUAUAUGGAAAACCUCUCUUUAUAGAAAGUGCAAGAUAAAAUUGCACUUGGUCAUAUGGAUCAACUUUUCUAGUUUAACCAGUGAUAGAUUUUUGAAGAACAGGACACAGUAGCCUUUUGUUCAGAUGAAGGUUUGAUAAAGUCUAUUGCAACAUUAUAAUAGCUGCUGUGAUGGUUAUGCAGGGCUCCUGUAAUGUUGCAUAUAUUAGUAAUGGGAACUUAAAUUACAGCAGUUUCCUGACCACUAUUCCGUUAUCAGUCUUACGUGAUGGGAAUAACAACUGUUGUUUAACAUCUUCAAUAUCAACUCUCUGCUGGUUUCCUCCCCUAAUUUACUGAGCAAUAACAUUUAUGUUUUCUGCUGCGGUCCGUUAUGUACCGUUGUAACUGCAAAAGACAUUAGCUGCAACAGUCAUUACAGAAAUUUCCCAUUCCAGGCAGAUCUGAGCAAAAAAUUCCUGUUAUUUUAUCAUUAAAAUGAUGAAUAACAGUAAUGGAAAGGGUUAAUUGUUUGUAGAUAUUGACGUUAUUGAUAAUCGAAAACUUUGUUCAGAUUUGGUGUUUGGUGCUUAACCUGAUGAUUAUAUCAUUUUUUUUCUUUUUUUUGGGGCUGGGUUCAUAAAAGGGAUAAUUGGUGUUGGAUUCAUUAGGUAUGAGAGAGAAUGUUUGGGUGAGCAUCUAUAUGGUACUGGUGCCAUGUGCUUGCCCAUGUUGAAUGAUAUAAAUUUGCACAGAUAAUGGUAUAUUAUUUGUAGAUAUGUGGUAAAUUGCAGCUAUAGAGAAGUUUUAUUAAUGUAGGUUGUGAAACUUGGUAUCCAAAUGACUGAGUCAUCGAGAUAGCCAACCGACUAAAUGAGGGUUUACUUUUAUAAUAAAUGUAAGCAUGUGCUGGUUCCACCAUUGCCAUAUUUUUGUAUGGACUCAUGAUGAUUGACUAACCAUUAGCUGAAUCAUAAACUGUCACAUCUAUGAUGGUUGGCUUGAUGUGUCAUUCACCUUAUCAUGCUAAGGUUUAAGCAGGAUUAAGCGUGUUCUUUUUUACAGUUUUGUUCUGAGAGUUCAUAUGCCUUUUCCUUCCCAUGUUUCCAACCUUCUGUGUAGAAACAAGUCUUGCAGGAGCUUCUGUGGCAUCUGUUGUGCAUUACUUUACCCUUCCAUUCCAUUCUAUUCUUUGUUAUUCAUUUUUAUCAUUCAACUUAAGUGUCGUUGGUUUCAGUUAAUUCUAACUUGGUUCCUAGCUAUAAUUUUACACUUCUCUAUGAGUUUCUAUCAUUUUGUCCAUCCUUCUUUAUCCAUUCUCUAUUCCAUUAUAUUCUUACUUAUUUUGGCUGCCAUCACUCAAAUGGAUUAUUCUGAACUAGAAGAAUAUGAAUAUAAUGUUUUUUGAUUCAAUAUUUGUUUUUUUACUAGUAGAUUUCAAGAUUCAUUUUGGAUUUAUAUUAGUUUGCUAUAACAUUCUGUAUACCUAAAUGGAGUGUGCAACUUUUUAGUACUUCAUAUACACGCCUAUACACAUAGAAUCAGGAUUCAUCUGAAAGCAAUAUCUAUCUGCUGAGGAUGGCCAAAAAUGUUUUGUUCUACAGCUUUAGUAUUAUAGUUUAAGUUUCUUGAAUCCUUAUGGAUCUCUGUAUCUUUUCAAUUCUUCUAUAGGACGGUAGUGUUUAGGGUAGACAACUAGACAUCAUUUAACAUGGACAUGGUAACUUUUGGAUAAAUGUUUUAUACUGGGGUUUAUAUUGUAAUAUGAUCACAAAUGAAAGAUAAGAUGCAACAAAAGAUUAUUUUGUUCAGCAAUGCUCAUGCAUUUUAAAAAUGGUAACUUUCAGAUAGAAUUUUUAUAGUUGGGUAUAUACAGUAGUAUGAUCACAAAUGAAAGAUAUGACCCAACAAAAGAUUAUUGUGUCCAGCAAUGCUCAUGUAUUGUUAUGUUGUUCCUAGCAAAUAUACUUAUGGAAAUUGAGUAUGUUUAGGUGCAUAUGUAAUAGGACUAGGUGGUAGCAGGGUUUGAGAGCAAGAUUUAGAGUUUUAUUAAUUGUUUAUGGUUCCAGUUAAUUAGUAUGAUGUAUUGGAAAUCUAUCGGUGACCCUAAGAAGGGAAGGGCAGCAUGAGGCAAGAUCUGCAAAGUCCUCUCUGUAGAUCAGACUUGUCUCUUUACAAUUAUAACAGCUAUGCAUGUUCAAUGGACAUCUGAAAAUAAGAUUUUUGAAUUACAUUGUAUACAACAAAAACAUAUUUUUAUUAGAAAUUGUAAUAUUUAAAAUGGAUGUCUAUGAGAGAGACUUAAAAGGAAAAUAUUAUCAUAUGAAGAUGAAAGAAUCUAAAUUUAAUAACUAUUAAUUCAAUAUUUUAAAAUUUAAAUCUUGAUGCACCUAUAAUAGUUUAGUGAUUGGAAAUAUAAGUGAGUUGAGCAAUUAAAAUAGGAAAAGGAAAGAACUCUAAUAUUUUAUCCUAUUCACCUUCUAAAGAAUGGAAGGCAUUUGUGGACUGACUGGAUAUCCAUUGUUGUUAAAACUUGUUGAAAAGAGAUUGGCUUCACUGUACUGGACUGUACCAUCUUGUACUAAAGGGGAAUAUGCUGAAAUUUCAAAACCAUCAUUCUCUAACAUAGUAUAGAUGAUCGUUUGUCAUGUGAAAGAACAUUACAAUGGAGACCUAAUGGUAGGAGAAAAGGAGGGUUAAAAAGCUGAAAAGAGUGUUCAGAGGCAUUGGCUGUCUAGAAAGUUGAGCAGUAAUAUCUUUAGGUUUUCUGUUUUGGAAAUAGUAGUUAAUUAGCUUACUGUGCUAAAUGAUAAUUGAUUCUUUCCCUUAAAAAAGAUUAGACUUAAGUGUCUGUCUUGAACUUCUCAAGGCAAAAUAGUGCAUAACUUGUUGAGAAUAGUGUUCGCUUCCCAUUGAAGCUGAUAUAGAGGGGUUAGACCAAUAUUCUUCAUUUUGGGCAAAAACCGUUAAUUCCCCAUAUAAAAUAGUAAACCAAUGAUAAAUGUUUAUGAUAAUUUCCUUACAGUUAAUAGUCUAAAUGUACUUAAUCCAGGUUACUUGCGAUUGCUAUUUUCAAUAGAAGAACUUCAUCAAUGGCCUGGUAACCUGUAAAAGUUUCAAUUCUUAUUUACUAAAUGCAAUAUACUUUGCUUUAGCCUGUUGCAUUGCUGCUUCAUUUGAUAAUUUGUUGGAUGUGUAUUUUUGGCAUGAGUUAUGUGAGUUAUCAUGAAACCAGAUUCAUUUGAUAUCUGAUAUACAUUAUUUAUACUAGUAAUCUGGUACAAUUUAAUGGAGUCAAACUUAUAAAAAUCAUUGUCAACUGUUAACCUUGCCCCAAAUUUAAUAUUUCCAAUAAUUACCUGUUGGUGUUCCCAACCUUAUUCUAUGUUUGUAUCAAAUAGUGAUACUAUGUCAGUUGUAUCCUUGGUUAUAUUUUUAUGCAUGUUCUAUCUAUGGAUUGACAUGAAUUUUAUGUGUUGUGCAAUCUCUCUAUCUCAGAUAAGAAUAUAAGGACUCUAUAUCAUCUUGGGUUGUUUAAUGUUGGAUUUUGUGCUAACAUCGGUCACUCGAUUAACAGGGAAACCGAUUGCUAGAAGUGCUUUCUGCUGUUGCCUAGAUGGCUGCAGCCGUCAAGCCAGAUCAGAUUGAUAUCUGCAAUGCUUUGCUAGCCUGCUGUUUGAGGGGCUUCAGACUUUUUUAGCAAAUUGGGUGGCGACACCUGCUUCAGGAUUAAAGUCUGCUCAUGUUAUUGAGGCGUCGCAAGUGUAAAUACAUUUUUUUAUCAUGUGGUAGUUCUGAAGGGGUUUUUAGCUCAUGACCAGCGCUUGCUCGGUGUAUGGGAAAUUUUCUGCAAGGAGAAAGCUUUUCAGUUUCUCCGGCUGAAGCUCAUUUGUGUAUCCUACAUGGUCGCAUUGCAUAGAGUUUUAGCAGUAGAGCUUCGCAUUUUUGUGGUUAAUUAUUUUCGUUUGAAGCAAUCAGUGAAAAGUUUAAAGUUGAUCUCUUCAAAUGUAGAUAAUUGUAUCAAUCAUUAGGUUAAUCUAUGCAAAUAGUGACUAUUUGCAUUUCUUCAA